UCUCUCCAGAACGAUCGCUAGCAACUCCUCUCGCUGAAGAAACCUCCAGCACACGCGCUGCACCCGCAGCGUCUCCACGCAGCACCCCCGUCUCUCACCUCCCAACUCUACCAAAACCCUUGGCGGCUCCUUCGAAAAAAAUAGGCCACCACCGACGGAGGAGGGUGGUGAACAUCUGGAGGCGGCGACCGGAGGAGAGUUUCACGGGGAGCAUUGAUAAUUGGGUCUGGUCACUCGCGGUGUGAUUUGUGAGAAUUUCACGGGGAGCAAAUGAGGGGUUCAAAUUUUCUUUGAUGAAUGAGGGGUUGGGAUUUCAACAAGUUAUUCAGUAUCAAGGUUUUCAAACAAAUCAACCAGGUAUCAGUUCUCAUCAAAUAGGCAAUAUAUAUACUUGAAUGUGUAGAUACAGGAGGAUCAAGUCCAAAGAGCUCAGAGUCAUGCAGAUAAGUAGAAGUGCAGGUUAGAGGAGGUACUCUCGUAGGGAGCAGCAGUACGAUACGACGUUCUAAUGCAGACGAUG
Asparagus officinalis (garden asparagus) is the source of this 520-nucleotide long non-coding RNA. RefSeq lists it as uncharacterized. NCBI's taxonomy places the organism in Eukaryota, Viridiplantae, Streptophyta, Magnoliopsida, Asparagales, Asparagaceae. The transcript is spliced from 5 exons. The record is from RefSeq and is a predicted model, not a curated record.